UAGGGAAUCUUCCGCAAUGGGCGAAAGCCUGACGGAGCAACGCCGCGUGAGUGAUGAAGGUCUUCGGAUCGUAAAACUCUGUUAUUAGGGAAGAACAAAUGUGUAAGUAACUAUGCACGUCUUGACGGUACCUAAUCAGAAAGCCACGGCUAACUACGUGCCAGCAGCCGCGGUAAUACGUAGGUGGCAAGCGUUAUCCGGAAUUAUUGGGCGUAAAGCGCGCGUAGGCGGUUUUUUAAGUCUGAUGUGAAAGCCCACGGCUCAACCGUGGAGGGUCAUUGGAAACUGGAAAACUUGAGUGCAGAAGAGGAAAGUGGAACUCCAUGUGUAGCGGUGAAAUGCGCAGAGAUAUGGAGGAACACCAGUGGCGAAGGCGACUUUCUGGUCUGUAACUGACGCUGAUGUGCGAAAGCGUGGGGAUCAAACAGG
Molecule: ribosomal RNA, 429 nt
Filed under: Actinomycetes bacterium
Lineage: Bacteria; Bacillati; Actinomycetota; Actinomycetes
Description: Actinobacteria bacterium partial 16S ribosomal RNA
Rfam family: Bacterial small subunit ribosomal RNA
Source: RNAcentral